UUUUCUUCCCUCAUCCAUCCAUUUAGGGUAUGCAAUCUACUGCAACACCUUUGAGGGGAGACGUUUCAUAACUCCUCUCUAUGACGGCGGUUUGGUUUCGUACGACCAAAGCAACCGUAGGUGAAAGGAGGACCGAGUUUUGAAGCGGAUCGGCCCAAAGCAAAGGCAACCAGUCUGUUGUUGUUGUUGCAGCAAGGGUUUGAGCAGGAGACUGGAGACACAACAGUAGGGAAAGACAAGACGACGGGGGACCUUUGAAGUUGCCGGUGCCAUUUUAAAUAAUCAUGAAAAGAAGGGAACGAAGGAAAACACAAAGUACACGGGCCCCAUCUCAAAGACGAUGCAGGGGGAACCUGUUACUCACUUUCACUGGAGGCUGAUCGGUCUCUCUUGAAUUAUUUUUUGAUGUGUCGAUAUGAAAUGAGUAAACAAAAUUUCUGUGCAUGUAAUGGGAUCUUAAACACAUUUAUUUUGUCCCUCUUUGAACUGAAUGAGAGUUCUUUGGUUUCUUUGCCAUUUUUUGGGAAUUAAAUUUUGAGUAAAUUAAACGUAAGAUCAGAGGAAAGCCCCCGCUGUGACGACAGCGCUGGAAGUGAUAUGUAGUUAUUAAUAUAGACCACAGUGGGUAUAUUAACAAUCUACAUCCGUAUCCAGUCAGUCAUCUCAUUUCUAUGCUGCUAGAUCCUUGUUACAAUGCAUACUUGUUUCCACAGAAAAUGGACGUUCAUAGUUUAUCUUUUUAGUAUGGAUUGGAAAAACUGUUUCUAAAAAACAUACAUUUUAAAACGUUCUUUUUUCAAUGGGGUGAUGUAGAUAAACAGAGAUGAGACAUCUCAGCUCUUCACACUCAUUGAGCUGCUUACUCAAAAUCAAGCAAAAAGGAUUUUAAAGUAAUUUGUAUUCAUUUGUGUAUAUAUAUAUUAGUGUUUAGUAGCAGAAAUGUACAAAAUGUAACAGGAGAUAAGCACAAUAAACGAGGUGUGUGUGUGCAUUUGUCUGUGUAUCUGUGUCUAUUGAGCAGAUGAGUGACAAUGUCGUCACUGUGUGCUUUGUGUAAAUACUCUUUUUUUGUCUCGAUGUCGUCAGAUGGACGUCAGAUGGACGGCAGAUCCCGGCGCCUCUUCCUCUCCGUUUUUUCUCAGUCUUCAUCGUCAGACGAAUCCUCCUCUAGUUCACUGGUGCGAUCGAGCAAGUGCUCCACAGCCUCCAGGGCUCCCUUUUUAUUUCUGUUGCUCAUGUUUUUCUACAGUAAGCUGCUGUGUAGAUCUGCAGUGUAAUGUUGGUAGGACUCCCAAGCAACCCUUUUUCUAUGUAAGUCAAAUAAAAUAUUCCUGUCAAAGUCAAAAUAGAAUGUGUAUUUCUCACACAUGUGGGGUAGUGAGAAAGAGAAUGUGGGUGCGUGUGAGAAUGGGAUGAAAUAGUGUAUGUGAGUGUGAAAUGUGGUAAAACAUGGUGAGAGGGAGAAAGUAAUAAAUAGUCUCAUAUUUUCAAAGAAAG
This is a long non-coding RNA of Gasterosteus aculeatus aculeatus (three-spined stickleback), 1497 nucleotides long. The record is from Ensembl. Lineage: Eukaryota; Metazoa; Chordata; Actinopteri; Perciformes; Gasterosteidae.